GCUUACGGCCAUACCAGCCUGAAUACGCCCGAUCUCGUCCGAUCUCGGAAGCUAAGCAGGGUCGGGCCUGGUUAGUACUUGGAUGGGUGACCGCCUGGGAAUACCAGGUGCUGUAAGCA
This 119-nucleotide ribosomal RNA is filed under the name Oncorhynchus kisutch (coho salmon). The record is from RNAcentral. Lineage: Eukaryota; Metazoa; Chordata; Actinopteri; Salmoniformes; Salmonidae.